CCUACGGGAGGCAGCAGUGGGGGAUAUUGCACAAUGGGGGGAACCCUGAUGUAGCGACGCCGCGUGGGUGAAGAAGCGCCUCGGCGCGUAAAGCCCUGUCAGCAGGGAAGAAAAUGACGGUACCUGCAGAAGAAGCCCCGGCUAACUACGUGCCAGCAGCCGCGGUAAUACGUAGGGGGCAAGCGUUAUCCGGAUUUACUGGGUGUACAGGGGGCGCAGACGGCGAUGCAAGCCAGGAGUGAAAGCCCGGGGCCCAACCCCGGGACUGCUCUUGGAACUGCGUGGCUGGAGUGCAGGAGGGGCAGGCGGAAUUCCUGGUGUAGCGGUGAAAUGCGUAGAUAUCAGGAGGAACACCGGUGGCGAAGGCGGCCUGCUGGACUGCAACUGACGUUGAGGCCCGAAAGCGUGGGGAGCAAACAGGAUUAGAUACCCCAGUAGUC
RNAcentral lists this ribosomal RNA (440 nucleotides) under uncultured bacterium. RNAcentral describes it as "partial 16S ribosomal RNA". It matches the Rfam family "Bacterial small subunit ribosomal RNA", at positions 338 to 795 of the family's 1533-position model. The record is from RNAcentral.